ACGAACGCUGGCGGCAUGCCUAACACAUGCAAGUCGAACGAGACCUUCGGGUCUAGUGGCGCACGGGUGCGUAACGCGUGGGAAUCUGCCCUUGGGUACGGAAUAACUCAGAGAAAUUUGUGCUAAUACCGUAUAAUGUCUUCGGACCAAAGAUUUAUCGCCCAAGGAUGAGCCCGCGUAAGAUUAGCUUGUUGGUGAGGUAAAAGCUCACCAAGGCGACGAUCUUUAGCUGGUCUGAGAGGAUGAUCAGCCACACUGGGACUGAGACACGGCCCAGACUCCUACGGGAGGCAGCAGUGGGGAAUAUUGGACAAUGGGCGAAAGCCUGAUCCAGCAAUGCCGCGUGAGUGAUGAAGGCCUUAGGGUUGUAAAGCUCUUUUACCCGGGAUGAUAAUGACAGUACCGGGAGAAUAAGCUCCGGCUAACUCCGU
This 431-nucleotide ribosomal RNA is filed under the name uncultured bacterium. RNAcentral describes it as "bacterial SSU rRNA". It matches the Rfam family "Bacterial small subunit ribosomal RNA", at positions 29 to 506 of the family's 1533-position model. The record is from RNAcentral.